GGCACCCUAAGGCGAGGCCGAAAGGCGUAGUCGAUGGGAAACAGGUUAAUAUUCCUGUACUUGGUGUUACUGCGAAGGGGGGACGGAGAAGGCUAUGUUAGCCGGGCGACGGUUGUCCCGGUUUAAGCAUGUAGGCUGGUUGUCCAGGCAAAUCCGGAUAAUCAAGGCUGAGGUGUGAUGACGAGGCACUACGGUGCUGAAGUAACAAAUGCC
This 213-nucleotide ribosomal RNA is filed under the name Klebsiella pneumoniae. RNAcentral's name for it is "partial 23S ribosomal RNA". It matches the Rfam family "Bacterial large subunit ribosomal RNA", at positions 1390 to 1601 of the family's 2925-position model. Lineage: Bacteria; Pseudomonadati; Pseudomonadota; Gammaproteobacteria; Enterobacterales; Enterobacteriaceae. The record is from RNAcentral.